UGUUAAGAUGGGCUCCUGGAGCCGGAACUACAGAAGAGGCACGAAGCCUCUCCGCACCAUCUUUCACGGUGUUGAGAUGGGGAGUUUUAAGCCACUCUUUAUACACACGCUAAACAACAGAUCACCUUAAAACAUAAGUUCCCAGGCCAGAAGCCAUUUAUAUGGUCUGCAAACGGGGGCAAAUAGUUCUGCAAUGCCAGGCACCUCCGAAUAACAACGGCUUCCAUUUAGGGAGCAUCAAUAAGAUUUCAGACCCCAGACAACCCUGAAGUGUCAGAGGCAAUGCAGCAGCAGGAGGCUACAGAUGUCCACAACAGAGGAGUCGACUCAGAGGAACCCGAGUUCUUAGGGCAUGAGCGAACCCCCUUGCUUUCCCCUUCCCCUGUCCUCCCACCAUGUGGCCUAGGACAUGGACACAGCUGUGGAAACUGUUCAACAGAGUAGGGUAACUAAAGAACCAGCUUUUGGGACACAGACCCGAAAGAGGAGUUCUAAGGGCUGGAAAAUACCAAGGAACUGGCAGAAAGAGGAAGCAAACCCAUAAAGUUCUAUAAACUCCUGUUUAUAAAUCAAAACACCAAGCCCAUAAAGCUUAUAAACUCCUGAGCUCACCCAAAGUUGUAUAUAUAUGUGUAUCUGACCCUAAACAGUGCAGUAAAGACGUUGAGAAUGAACUAUGGGAUAGCUCACCACCUAGGUCCCAGACUGACCACUGGGUGGCAUAUACCGAGCAAAGAUUCAAAUAGCAUCACAAAGGCUUUGAAACAGAAUUGAUAUUGAACCUUCAACCCACAGAAGACUGACCAGAACUUCUCACUUGAACCCAGCCAGGUUGAUUGCUUUCGAAAACAAAACAAAAAUCAACAUUCUUCAUAGGAUUUAAACAAGACCAGAGUCCCAUAACAUAAUAAACAAAUGUCCACGAUAUAAUUCUAAAUUACUUGGCAUACAAAGAACCAGGAAAAUCUCAAUUCAUAUGGAAAAAGACAAUCAACAGAUGCCAAUGCCAAGAUGACACAGUUGUUGGAAUUAUCAGAUUGUAAAGCAGCUAUAAUAAAAUAACCCAAGAUUAGCCAGGCAUGGUGGUAUACCCCUGCAGUCCCAGCUAAUCAGGAGGCUGAAGCGGGAGGAUUACUGGAGCCCAGGAGUUCAAGGUUACAGUGAGUGAUGAGCUACCUUCUGCUAUCCAGCCCAUCCAUUUUUAUUUUGGAUACUACGUUCUAUGGUUCUAAGAUUUUCAUUUGCUUUUUUUUUUUUUUUUUUUUUUUUUUUUUGAGACAGAGUCUAGCUCUGUCGUCAGGCUGGAGUUCAGUGGUGCGAUCUUGGCUCACUGCAACCUCCGCCUCCCGAAUUCAAGCGAUUCUCCUGCCUCAGCCUCCCAAGUAGCUGGGAUUACAGGCAAGCGCCGCCACACCGAGCUAAUUUUUGUAUUUUUAGUAAAGACAGGGAUUCACCAUGUUGACCAGGAUGGUCUCAAUCUCCUGACCUCGUGAUCCACCCACCUCGGCCUCCCAAAGUGCUGGGAUCACAGGUGUGAGCCAACACACCCGGCCCAUUUGCUUCUUUAUAUCUUC
This 1574-nucleotide long non-coding RNA is filed under the name Homo sapiens (human). Its description in RNAcentral is "HSALNT0386624". The record is from RNAcentral. Lineage: Eukaryota; Metazoa; Chordata; Mammalia; Primates; Hominidae.